This 253-nucleotide ribosomal RNA is filed under the name uncultured bacterium. RNAcentral describes it as "partial 16S ribosomal RNA". It matches the Rfam family "Bacterial small subunit ribosomal RNA", at positions 524 to 776 of the family's 1533-position model. The record is from RNAcentral.
UACGUAGGUGGCAAGCGUUGUCCGGAUUUACUGGGCGUAAAGGGCGCGUAGGCGGCCGAUCAAGUCGGAGGUGAAAUCCCUCGGCUCAACUGAGGAAUUGCCUCCGAUACUGUUCGGCUUGAGUCCUGGAGAGGGUAGUGGAAUUCCCAGUGUAGCGGUGAAAUGCGUAGAGACUGGGAAGAACACCAGUGGCGAAGGCGGCUACCUGGACAGGUACUGACGCUGAAGCGCGAAAGCUAGGGGAGCAAACAGG